CCUACGGGUGGCUGCAGUGGGGAAUAUUGCGCAAUGGGCGAAAGCCUGACGCAGCGACGCCGCGUGAGGGAUGAAGGUCUUCGGAUCGUAAACCUCUGUCAGCAGGGAAGAACGGUCACUGUGCUAAUCAGCAGUGAAUUGACGGUACCUGAAAAGGCAGCACCGGCUAAUUCCGUGCCAGCAGCCGCGGUAAUACGGAGGGGGCGGGCUUUAAUGGGAAUUACUGGGCGGAACGCGGACGUUGGAGGUAUGUCAAGACAAGGGUGAACUCCCCGCGCUCAAGGUGGGAACUGCCUUUGAAACUGGCAAACUGGAGUGUGUGAGAGGAUAGUGGAA
RNAcentral lists this ribosomal RNA (336 nucleotides) under uncultured bacterium. RNAcentral describes it as "partial 16S ribosomal RNA". It matches the Rfam family "Bacterial small subunit ribosomal RNA", at positions 338 to 666 of the family's 1533-position model. The record is from RNAcentral.